UGAAAAGAUGUGGAAAAAUGGUAGAGAUGCUGUAAUUUAAACACUUCAAUACUUUGAAUCAUGGAUCACUGGGUUUGGGGCCAGAGUGCGGAAUGUGAUGGUACAAGAUCAGUCUUGGGAAGGAAAUCUCCAUGAAAGCUUGUAAUUUUGAACUCGGAACAUGUUCAUUAGUUGUACCUUAAAGGCUGACUCUCUGGAGGUCACUGGAGGACUCCUAUUGAUUAAGGGGAGUGAGAAUUUCAGGCUGUAUCUGCAGUGGGUCCUAAGUCCAUAUCCACCCUCAGCCAGCAGACACUGGGGGCAUGUCUCCAUCUGGAUUUCAUACCUGACUUCUAGAAAAUGGAUAGCAAAAUGGACGCA
RNAcentral lists this long non-coding RNA (360 nucleotides) under Numida meleagris (helmeted guineafowl). Its description in RNAcentral is "lncRNA (ENSNMEG00000020065.1)". The record is from RNAcentral. Lineage: Eukaryota; Metazoa; Chordata; Aves; Galliformes; Numididae.